UUGCCUCAGCAGCACAUGUACUAAAAUUGGAAUGGCUUAGAGAAGGUUAGCACAGACUUGCGCGAGGAUGACACACAAAUUCGUGAAGCGCUCCAUUUUUUU
Molecule: small nuclear RNA, 102 nt
Organism: Pristis pectinata (smalltooth sawfish)
Lineage: Eukaryota; Metazoa; Chordata; Chondrichthyes; Rhinopristiformes; Pristidae
Source: RefSeq, a predicted model, not a curated record